This 431-nucleotide ribosomal RNA is filed under the name uncultured bacterium. Its description in RNAcentral is "partial 16S ribosomal RNA". It matches the Rfam family "Bacterial small subunit ribosomal RNA", at positions 29 to 507 of the family's 1533-position model. The record is from RNAcentral.
AACGAACGCUGGCGGCAGGCUUAACACAUGCAAGUCGAACGCCCCGCAAGGGGAGUGGCAGACGGGUGAGUAACGCGUGGGAACAUACCCUUUUCUACGGAAUAGCUCUGGGAAACUGGAAUUAAUACCGUAUACGCCCUACGGGGGAAAGAUUUAUCGGGGAAGGAUUGGCGCGCGUUGGAUUAGCUAGUUGGUGGGGUAAAGGCCUACCAAGGCGACGAUCCAUAGCUGGUCUGAGAGGAUGAUCAACCACAUUGGGACUGAGACACGGCCCAAACUCGUACGCGAGGGAGGAGUGGGGAAUAUAGGACAAUGGGGGCAAGCCUGAUCCCGCCAUGCCGCGUGAGUGAUGAAGGCCUUAGGGUUCUAAAGCUCUUUCACCGAUGAAGAUAAUGACGGUAGUCGGAGAAGAAGCCCCGGCUAACUACGUG